This 253-nucleotide ribosomal RNA is filed under the name uncultured bacterium. RNAcentral describes it as "partial 16S ribosomal RNA". It matches the Rfam family "Bacterial small subunit ribosomal RNA", at positions 524 to 776 of the family's 1533-position model. The record is from RNAcentral.
UACGGGGGGGGCAAGCGUUGUUCGGAAUUACUGGGCGUAAAGGGCUCGUAGGCGGCCAACUAAGUCGGACGUGAAAUCCCUCGGCUUAACCGGGGAACUGCGUCCGAUACUGGUUGGCUUGAGUUUGGGAGAGGGAUGCGGAAUUCCAGGUGUAGCGGUGAAAUGCGUAGAUAUCUGGAGGAACACCGGUGGCGAAGGCGGCUUCCUGGACCGACACUGACGCUGAGGCGCGAAAGCUAGGGGAGCAAACGGG